Molecule: ribosomal RNA, 329 nt
Filed under: uncultured eukaryote
Lineage: Eukaryota
Description: partial 18S ribosomal RNA
Rfam family: Eukaryotic small subunit ribosomal RNA
Source: RNAcentral
CCCUUCGACGUCUGGGGCCGCACGCGUGCUACAGUGGUGGUGGUAACGCGCGUUCCGUGCUCGUAAGGUGUUCGGGAAUCGUCAAGCUCCCCCAUGCCGGGGAUCGCGGCUUGCAAUUGUGCCUCGUGAACCAGGAAUGCCUAGUAGUCGCGGGUCAUGACCUCGCGUCGACUGCGUCCCUGCCCUUUGUACACACCGCCCGUCGCUACUACCGAUUGAACGGUUUAGUGAGGGCCUCGGAUUGGUCUCGGCCCGCUCUUUACCGGGCGGCGCCGUUGGUCGAGAAGACGCUCGAACUUGAUCGUUUAGAGGAAGUAAAAGUCGUAACA